Molecule: long non-coding RNA, 776 nt
Organism: Papaver somniferum (opium poppy)
Lineage: Eukaryota; Viridiplantae; Streptophyta; Magnoliopsida; Ranunculales; Papaveraceae
Exons: 2
Source: RefSeq, a predicted model, not a curated record
UCUCUUAAUCUCUUUCUCUAACUUCUCUGAAUCCCUUUCUCUACUUCUCUAAUUAGUAAACCAGAAAUGAUAAUAAACCAUUUUCAUGUAAUGGGUUCUCUAAUUUAUCAUUUUCAUGUAAUGGGUUCUGCAAAUUUUAUCAACAACAGUAGAUAUCUUUAGCUAUUGAUGGAAAACCUAAAAAAUUCACAAAAUUUUUCUGUAAUUUUCUCAUUAUUCUUGAGAGUUGUUUCGUUUGAUGCAUGCGGAGGAAUUGCAUAAACACAGAUCUUCUUAAGGAGAGGAUGAAUCUAACUUGGGACAGCUACGGGAUGGUGGGAGAUGAAUGCGAUGGCUGCUGUAAAUUUGGAGGAGAUCAAAAGAAAAAUUCAGUGACUCAACAAUAUUUAUUUCCAGAUCUUCGAGUGCAUACUCAACACUUCAGUUAUCAAAGGACGAUCCAGUGAAUUCAUACACCACAAACCUACUAUAUCGAUCAUCUUUUUAUGGUAGCCUCUUCUCUUCUUCAGUCAUUACCCCAGCAACCAAGAACCGGAUCUGGGAAAUACAGUCGUGAAAUGAAUGAUUAAUUGUCAGUAGUUAGCGUUACUUUGAUAUUCUGCAAUUCAAACAUAUAAUAUGUCAAAUUACAUGUUUGCAUCUUCUAUGUGUGGUUUAUUAAUGUAUUAAUUGCUGUAAUUUCAACUACAUUUUUGGUCACCUGGUUGAUUUUAAGAGAUGGAAAUUGAAAUGUUGGAAAUUAAAAUUUUAAGAGAUGGAAAUUGAAAUGUUGAUGA